RNAcentral lists this ribosomal RNA (503 nucleotides) under uncultured bacterium. RNAcentral's name for it is "partial 16S ribosomal RNA". It matches the Rfam family "Bacterial small subunit ribosomal RNA", at positions 30 to 523 of the family's 1533-position model. The record is from RNAcentral.
AUUGAAUGCUGGCGGCAGGCUUAACACAUGCAAGUCGAGCGGGGUGAUGGUGCUUGCACUAUCACUUAGCGGCGGACGGGUGAGUAAUGCUUAGGAAUCUGCCUAUUAGUGGGGGACAACAUCUCGAAAGGGAUGCUAAUACCGCAUACGUCCUACGGGAGAAAGCAGGGGAUCACUUGUGACCUUGCGCUAAUAGAUGAGCCUAAGUCGGAUUAGCUAGUUGGUGGGGUAAAGGCCUACCAAGGCGACGAUCUGUAGCGGGUCUGAGAGGAUGAUCCGCCACACUGGGACUGGGACACGGCCCAGACUCCUACGGGAGGCAGCAGUGGGGAAUAUUGGACAAUGGGGGGAACCCUGAUCCAGCCAUGCCGCGUGUGUGAAGAAGGCCUUAUGGUUGUAAAGCACUUUAAGCGAGGAGGAGGCUCUUUUGGUUAAUACCCAAGAUGAGUGGACGUUACUCGCAGAAUAAGCACCGGCUAACUCUGUGCCAGCAGCCGCCGUAA